UACGAAGGGGGCUAGCGUUGUUCGGAUUUACUGGGCGUAAAGCGCACGUAGGCGGAUCGUUAAGUCGGGGGUGAAAUCCUGGAGCUCAACUCCAGAACUGCCUUUGAUACUGAGGAUCUUGAGUUCGGGAGAGGUGAGUGGAACUGCGAGUGUAGAGGUGAAAUUCGUAGAUAUUCGCAAGAACACCAGUGGCGAAGGCGGCUCACUGGCCCGAUACUGACGCUGAGACGCGAAAGCGUGGGGAGCGAACAGG
This 253-nucleotide ribosomal RNA is filed under the name uncultured bacterium. RNAcentral describes it as "partial 16S ribosomal RNA". It matches the Rfam family "Bacterial small subunit ribosomal RNA", at positions 524 to 776 of the family's 1533-position model. The record is from RNAcentral.